AGCAGCCGCGGUAAUUCCAGCUCCAAUAGCGUAUAUUAAAGUUGUUGCAGUUAAAAAGCUCGUAGUUGAAUUUCGGGACUAAUAUGUCGGUCGUGCCUCGGUACGCACUGGCUUAUUGGUUUCUCCUUUCUGAAGAACCAUGAUGUCAUUUAUUUGGUGUCGUGGGGAAUCAGGACUGUUACUUUGAAAAAAUUAGAGUGUUUAAAGCAGGCUCACGCUUGAAUACAUUAGCAUGGAAUAAUGAAAUAGGACGUUUGAUUCUAUUUUGUUGGUUUCUAGGAUCGACGUAAUGAUUAAUAGGGAUAGUUGGGGGCAUUAGUAUUCAAUUGUCAGAGGUGAAAUUCUUGGAUUUAUUGAAGACUAACUACUGCGAAAGCAUUUGCCAAGGAUGUUUUCAUUAAUCAAGAACGAAAGUUAGGGGAUCGAAGACGAUCAGAUACCGUCGUAGUCUUAACCAUAAACUAUGCCGACUAGGGAUCGGAUGAUGUUAAUUUUUAAUGACUCAUUCGGCGCCUUACGG
RNAcentral lists this ribosomal RNA (520 nucleotides) under uncultured Glomus. RNAcentral describes it as "SSU rRNA". It matches the Rfam family "Eukaryotic small subunit ribosomal RNA", at positions 569 to 1093 of the family's 1831-position model. Lineage: Eukaryota; Fungi; Glomeromycota; Glomeromycetes; Glomerales; Glomeraceae. The record is from RNAcentral.